CCUACGGGUGGCAGCAGUAGGGAAUCUUUCACAAUGGGCGAAAGCCUGAUGGAGCAACGCCGCGUGCAGGAUGAAGGCCUUCGGGUUGUAAACUGCUUUUAUAAGCGAGAAAUAUGAUGGUAACUUAUGAAUAAGGAUCGGCUAACUACGUGCCAGCAGCCGCGGUCAUACUUAGGAUCCGCGCAUUAUCCGGAGUGACUGGGUGUAAAGAGUUGCGUAGGGGGCAUAGUAAGUAGCUAGUGAAAUCUGGUGGCUCAACCGUUCAGACUAUUAGUUAAACUGUUAAGCUCGAGACCGUUAGGGGUAACUGGAAUUUGUAGUGUAGGGGUGAAAUCCGUAGAUAUUA
This 346-nucleotide ribosomal RNA is filed under the name uncultured bacterium. RNAcentral's name for it is "partial 16S ribosomal RNA". It matches the Rfam family "Bacterial small subunit ribosomal RNA", at positions 338 to 699 of the family's 1533-position model. The record is from RNAcentral.